RNAcentral lists this ribosomal RNA (207 nucleotides) under uncultured bacterium. Its description in RNAcentral is "partial 16S ribosomal RNA". It matches the Rfam family "Bacterial small subunit ribosomal RNA", at positions 568 to 774 of the family's 1533-position model. The record is from RNAcentral.
UGCGCAGGCGGUUUUGUAAGACAGGCGUGAAAUCCCCGAGCUUAACUUGGGAAUUGCGCUUGUGACUGCAAGGCUAGAGUAUGUCAGAGGGGGGUAGAAUUCCACGUGUAGCAGUGAAAUGCGUAGAGAUGUGGAGGAAUACCGAUGGCGAAGGCAGCCCCCUGGGACGUCACUGACGCUCAUGCACGAAAGCGUGGGGAGCAAACA